GGCGGAGCUAAUCCCUUAAAGCUACUCUCAGUUCGGAUUGUAGGCUGAAACUCGCCUACAUGAAGCUGGAGUUACUAGUAAUCGCAGAUCAGAAUGCUGCGGUGAAUGCGUUCCCGGGUCUUGUACACACCGCCCGUCACACCACGGGAGUUGGAGACGCCCGAAGCCGAUUAUCUAACCUUUUGGAAGAAGUCGUCGAAGGUGGAAU
This 208-nucleotide ribosomal RNA is filed under the name Clostridioides difficile. RNAcentral's name for it is "partial 16S ribosomal RNA". It matches the Rfam family "Bacterial small subunit ribosomal RNA", at positions 1261 to 1468 of the family's 1533-position model. Lineage: Bacteria; Bacillati; Bacillota; Clostridia; Peptostreptococcales; Peptostreptococcaceae. The record is from RNAcentral.